GACGAACGCUGGCGGCGUGCUUAACACAUGCAAGUCGAACGGAAAGGCCCUGCUUUUGUGGGGUGCCCGAGUGGCGAACGGGUGAGUAACACGUGAGUAACCUGCCCUUGACUUUGGGAUAACUUCAGGAAACUGGGGCUAAUACCGGAUAGGAGCUCCUGCUCCAUGGUGGGGGUUGGAAGGUUUCGGCGGUUGGGGAUGGACUCGCGGCUUAUCAGCUUGUUGGUGGGGUAGUGGCUUACCAAGGCUUUGACGGGUAGCCGGCCUGAGAGGGUGACCGGCCACAUUGGGACUGAGAUACGGCCCAGACUCCUACGGGAGGCAGCAGUGGGGAAUAUUGCACAAUGGGCGGAAGCCUGAUGCAGCAACGCCGCGUGCGGGAUGACGGCCUUCGGGUUGUAAACCGCUUUCGCCUGUGACGAAGCGUGAGUGACGGUAAUGGGUAAAGAAGCACCGGCUAACUACGUG
RNAcentral lists this ribosomal RNA (468 nucleotides) under uncultured bacterium. Its description in RNAcentral is "partial 16S ribosomal RNA". It matches the Rfam family "Bacterial small subunit ribosomal RNA", at positions 28 to 507 of the family's 1533-position model. The record is from RNAcentral.